CACCUGAUUCCAUCCCGAACUCAGAAGUGAAACGAAACAGCGUCGAUGGUAGUGUGGGGUCUCCCCAUGUGAGAGUAGAACAUCGCCAGGC
This 91-nucleotide ribosomal RNA is filed under the name Vibrio cholerae. The record is from RNAcentral. Lineage: Bacteria; Pseudomonadati; Pseudomonadota; Gammaproteobacteria; Vibrionales; Vibrionaceae.